Molecule: long non-coding RNA, 1083 nt
Filed under: Cairina moschata (Muscovy duck)
Lineage: Eukaryota; Metazoa; Chordata; Aves; Anseriformes; Anatidae
Description: domestica (muscovy Duck (domestic type)) lncRNA (ENSCMMG00000003762.1)
Source: RNAcentral
GCAAUACAUAAACUUCCUUCUUUCCCAGUGCCCACUUCAGGUAUUCUCUCAAAUCUAUUCUUUACCACAGCCCGCAGUAUUAGGCUCCAUACAAAUGCUUUGAGAUGAAAUGUGUAUUGCACAAAUAAGGAGGUGGCUAAAUGCUUCCUUCUGGUAUUUGAACCUAGGACUCCUCAUUGUUACCCUGUGAUAAAUAGUAUUAGGCAAAUUUCACAGUGAGUGUUACUACGUAUUCUUUCACAGAGCCACAAGUAUUCACAUGACUGUGAUCAGCUGACUUUUUACUUAUUGUUAAAUCUGUAUAUGCCAAUAGACACAGCUGAAGGAUUAGGAUCUAGUGAAAAAGUCUAAUUAAACUCUAAGGCUAAACAAACAGCUGAUCUGUUUUCAAUGUGUAGUGUCACUGGAGUUGAAAUCCAUUCAAAAUCUUUCCUUCCCCAUUUUAUCCCUUCUGAACAGAAAACUAUAGCAAAAAUCCUGAAAUAGAUGUCUGAGUGAGACUUGUAGAAUAAAUACUGUUGUAUGUGUAUUUCUAUGACUCUAAAUGUUAGGAUGUUAAACUUACUAUUAACCUUUAAAAUUUAAAAUCAUUCAUUCAGAUUGUGAUUCAGAAUCGACUAAAUCGUUUACUGCAUCUGUUCCGUGGGCUAACAAGAGACUCCAGAGUAGUGGAGGAAGGCUCUGCAUCUGGAAACAGGUGUUUCAGCAAAACAGAGAGUGAAGAAUAUCAGGGCAUUUCUUCCAGCAUAUCUGAAGAUCGCAUAUUACCUUUUGAAUUCCCCUUCUACAGUUCCCUUGAACUGUGCCGUGAUUUGGUAGGUAUAGUAAUUAAAAUGGUGGCCAACAGUAAAGAUAACAUUUUGUUGAAGACGUUGGCCCCAGAACCCAUACUGUAAAGUAUAAAAAACCAACGUAACUGGCGUUCUGGAGUUCCAACAAAUUAAUUCAGGACUUCAGGUUUAUUGAGAGUGCUGCUAAGCACUUGAAAAGCAGUUAAACGUUUGCAUUCUCUUGAUUACAUUUUGAAAUUAUGUGUAAUACAUUAAUGACCAAAGUUAGUUAAAAUCCAUGAUUUUGCACAGG